Molecule: long non-coding RNA, 1032 nt
Organism: Bombus huntii
Lineage: Eukaryota; Metazoa; Arthropoda; Insecta; Hymenoptera; Apidae
Exons: 2
Source: RefSeq, a predicted model, not a curated record
ACAGCAACUAGAAGAGGAACAAGAACUGUCCAAGCUGGGUGAAGUCUCGGUUUAUAUACGUUUUGGUUUUAGGAUGUUGAGGGGCUAGGUGUAGGUUAUGAUGUAGAAAAGUGUCCGAAGGUCGGGGGUCCAUAUCCUAUCUCUGAUGUGGACGGAGGUGCGUCACAGCCUUGGUGUAUGCUAUGAUGAUAAGGUGGUGAUGUGUCCAAAAGUGUCCGAAGGUCGGGUGUCGAUGUAUUAUCACUGAUGUAGGUUGAGAUGUGAUUGAUGUCACAAGAGCUUGGUCGAAUAUUAACUUUCAACAACUCUUUUCAAACUCACCAGUCACAAGCCACGGUUUACUGAAUACAUCUUUUUGGAAAAUCCUUUUUAGAUUUUCGUACAAGGAACAUGGUUUGUUUGACAAGGGAUUUUCUUUUGAAGCAAUUUGGGGUGACAAAAAGGUCUUUUUGUUAGGUAGCUUAUCAAUAAAAAUGUUUUAUUAAUGACGUAACUGGAACGAAUACUAACGAAUUUAAAUAGAAUCGACGACCAAAUGGAAUAUAUCUUCUUUUCAAUUUUCAUAAAUCGAAAGCCCUAUGGAUACGUAUAAAUGUUUCUUUUACUCGUAGUAAAUUAUUAUUAUUCUAUUAUACGUGUGUAUACUACAGAAGGACCAUACUAAUAGGCACCAACAGCUUUCAUCUAACAUAAUAUUUUCAUGGAAUCUUAUAAUCAUCUUCGCCUCAUUGUCUCCGAAUAAGUCGUAUUUAACAACAUUUCGAAUUUCGAUUUGUUGAAAAAGCCGCUCAAAUUGAUGCACAAAUUUGACUUCGCAAAUCGCCUUUUUGCACUCCCCGUACUGGCGAGAACGAAGAUAAAUGUUCGGCACUGAGCUACUGCUCAGUUGCUACGAGUUAAUCCUCGUUUUGCUUCAAGUAAAUGAAACGCUCUAAUCUGUAAGACGUCCAUAAGAUUCGGUUGACGGUGGCUGUUUCGUGUUAAUCGGUGUCUCAAUUUUCUAAUUUAAUUAUUGUGCUCGAUUUAAUGACA